Molecule: ribosomal RNA, 142 nt
Filed under: Sepia officinalis (common cuttlefish)
Lineage: Eukaryota; Metazoa; Mollusca; Cephalopoda; Sepiida; Sepiidae
Description: partial 16S ribosomal RNA
Source: RNAcentral
AAUUUUAUUUUAUUAUAUAUAUUUUAUAGUAAAAAAGAAAUUUUAGUUGGGGUGAUUAAGGAAUAAAAAUGAAUGAUGUAACUUCCUUAAAUAUAAAAUUGUUAAAUUAAGUAACCAAUUUAUAUUGCUUAUAAUAGAGUUA